UACGGAGGGGGCUAGCGUUGUUCGGAAUUACUGGGCGUAAAGCGCGCGUAGGCGGACCUGCAAGUCGGGGGUGAAAGCCCGAGGCUCAACCUCGGAACUGCCUUCGAUACUGCGGGUCUCGAGUCCGGGAGAGGUGAGUGGAAUUCCUAGUGUAGAGGUGAAAUUCGUAGAUAUUAGGAAGAACACCGGUGGCGAAGGCGGCAUCCUGGACCGACACUGACGCUGAGGAGCGAAAGCCAGGGGAGCAAACGGG
RNAcentral lists this ribosomal RNA (253 nucleotides) under uncultured bacterium. Its description in RNAcentral is "partial 16S ribosomal RNA". It matches the Rfam family "Bacterial small subunit ribosomal RNA", at positions 524 to 776 of the family's 1533-position model. The record is from RNAcentral.